RNAcentral lists this long non-coding RNA (668 nucleotides) under Gossypium barbadense (sea-island cotton). RNAcentral's name for it is "long non-coding RNA (GBAR_LNC009474)". Lineage: Eukaryota; Viridiplantae; Streptophyta; Magnoliopsida; Malvales; Malvaceae. The record is from RNAcentral.
UCACCGUGCCGAACGGAGAAGGGAGUGGCCACGGGGUAGAUCCGUAAGACUCUCUUCUUCCUUGAUUCUUUUUUGUUUUAAAGUAAGUUAAUGAAAUAAAAAAAUAAAACAAAGCAAAGAUAAAUAGAAAGAUUGAGAUAACAGAGGAAAUAAAUUUGAAGUUAACCUUUUAAGCUUUUCUUUUUUCUUUUGUUUUUGAUACAAACUUUUUGUAUUUCGAAAGAACCCCCAUCACAUAUUUUCGAUUGAGGCUUCUUAUAGCCGAAUACCAAGAAAAUUUCUAUUGUUUGUUGCGUUUUUGCUCUGUUCUCUGUAGUUGUGUCUCGUUUUGUAGGCGGUGUCAGACGCUUGGAAGAGAAGGGCAUGCGCGGGUGUGGUGGUGGUAGUGCGCAAGGUGGCCCAUGGUUGGCCUAGCGUGCGGCGGUUGUAGGCUUGGGGAGCUGCUAGGGUUUCCUCUUUUUUUUUUUUUGGAAAAUGCUUAGUGGGCUAGGUUGAUUUGGGCCUGUUGGGCUAGUCUUUUAGUUUUGUACUUUGGACUUUAUUUAUUUGGUUUAUUGGGUUUUGUUAUUUUUUAUUUGUCUAGGCCAAAAAUUGGCCAUUACAAAUCCCUUUUAAAAUUUCUUUUAAAAGGUUGUAAUUUAAGUUAUUUAACAUUAAAUAUAAAAUUG